AUUGAACGCUGGCGGCAUGCCUUACACAUGCAAGUCGAACGGUAACGGGCCUUCGGGUGCCGACGAGUGGCGAACGGGGGAGUAAUACGUCGGAACGUGCCCGAUCGUGGGGGAUAACGAGGCGAAAGCUUUGCUAAUACCGCCUACGAUCUACGGAUGAAAGCAGGGGACCGCAAGGCCUUGCGCGGACGGAGCGGCCGAUGGCAGAUGAGGUAGUUGGUGGGAUAGAAGCUUACGAAGCGGACGAUCUGUAGCUGGUCUGAGAGGAUGAGCAGCCACACUGGGACUGCGACACGGCCCAGACUCCUACGGGAGGCAGCAGUAGGGAAUUUUGGACAAUGGGCGCAAGCCUGAUCCAGCCAUGCCGCGUGCAGGAUGAAGGCCUUCGGGUUGUAAACUGCUUUUGUACGGAACGAAAAGCCUUCUUUUAAUACAGGAGGGUCAUGACGGUACCGUAAGAAUAAGCACCGGCUAACUACGUG
This 482-nucleotide ribosomal RNA is filed under the name uncultured bacterium. RNAcentral describes it as "partial 16S ribosomal RNA". It matches the Rfam family "Bacterial small subunit ribosomal RNA", at positions 30 to 507 of the family's 1533-position model. The record is from RNAcentral.